RNAcentral lists this transfer RNA (88 nucleotides) under Caedimonas varicaedens. RNAcentral's name for it is "Caedibacter varicaedens tRNA". It matches the Rfam family "tRNA". Rfam says of the family: Transfer RNA (tRNA) molecules are approximately 80 nucleotides in length. Their secondary structure includes four short double-helical elements and three loops (D, anti-codon, and T loops). Lineage: Bacteria; Pseudomonadati; Pseudomonadota; Alphaproteobacteria; Holosporales; Caedimonadaceae. The record is from Rfam by way of RNAcentral.
GGAGGGGUGGCCGAGCGGUUGAAGGCGCACGAUUGGAAAUCGUGUAUACGUUAAUAGCGUAUCGUGGGUUCGAAUCCCAUCCCCUCCG